This 202-nucleotide unclassified non-coding RNA is filed under the name uncultured fungus. RNAcentral's name for it is "sequence contains ITS2". Lineage: Eukaryota; Fungi. The record is from RNAcentral.
AAAUCCUCAAACUUCAUUCUGUAAAAAGAGUGAAGCUUGGACUUUUGGGCGCGUGCUGGCCAUUGAUUGUCAGCUCUCCUAAAAUGCAUCGGCGGGAUCAUUCCUUGAUCAUCGUUGGUAUGAUAACUUCUAUCUAUAUCUUCGGUGAAUCAAUCACGAUCUUGUUUUCUGGAUACGUGCGUAAAGCACUGCCAUUGACAUU